UACAGAGACUGCAAGCGUUAUUCGGAAUUACUGGGCGUAAAGCGUGCGCAGGCGGUUUUGUAAGCCCGAUGUGAAAUCCCCGGGCUUAACCUGGGAAUGGCAUUUGGGACUGCAAGGCUCGAGUGCGGCAGAGGAGACUGGAAUUCCUGGUGUAGCAGUGAAAUGCGUAGAUAUCAGGAGGAACACCGAUGGCGAAGGCAGGUCUCUGGGCUGACACUGACGCUCAUGCACGAAAGCGUGGGGAGCAAACAGG
RNAcentral lists this ribosomal RNA (253 nucleotides) under uncultured bacterium. Its description in RNAcentral is "partial 16S ribosomal RNA". It matches the Rfam family "Bacterial small subunit ribosomal RNA", at positions 524 to 776 of the family's 1533-position model. The record is from RNAcentral.